RNAcentral lists this ribosomal RNA (1049 nucleotides) under uncultured Methanosarcina sp. Its description in RNAcentral is "bacterial SSU rRNA". It matches the Rfam family "Archaeal small subunit ribosomal RNA", at positions 1 to 1054 of the family's 1478-position model. The record is from RNAcentral. Lineage: Archaea; Methanobacteriati; Methanobacteriota; Methanomicrobia; Methanosarcinales; Methanosarcinaceae.
CCCGGUUGAUCCUGGCAGAGGUUACUGCUAUCGGUGUUCGCCUAAGCCAUGCGAGUCAUAUGUAGCAAUACAUGGCGUACUGCUCAGUAACACGUGGAUAACCUGCCCUUGGGACCGGCAUAACCCCGGGAAACUGGGGAUAAUUCCGGAUAACGCACAUAUGCUGGAAUGCUUUAUGCGUAAAAUGGAUUCGUCCGCCCAAGGAUGGGUCUGCGGCCUAUCAGGUAGUAGUGGGUGUAAUGUACCUACUAGCCAACAACGGGUACGGGUUGUGAGAGCAAGAGCCCGGAGAUGGAUUCUGAGACAUGAAUCCAGGCCCUACGGGGCGCAGCAGGCGCGAAAACUUUACAAUGCGGGAAACCGUGAUAAGGGGACACCGAGUGCUAGCAUCAUAUGCUGGCUGUCCAGGUGUGUAAAAUACACCUGUUAGCAAGGGCCGGGCAAGACCGGUGCCAGCCGCCGCGGUAACACCGGCGGCCCGAGUGGUGAUCGUGAUUAUUGGGUCUAAAGGGUCCGUAGCCGGUUUGGUCAGUCCUCCGGGAAAUCUGAUAGCUUAACUAUUAGGCUUUCGGGGGAUACUGCCAGACUUGGAACCGGGAGAGGUAAGAGGUACUACAGGGGUAGGAGUGAAAUCUUGUAAUCCCUGUGGGACCACCUGUGGCGAAGGCGUCUUACCAGAACGGGUUCGACGGUGAGGGACGAAAGCUGGGGGCACGAACCGGAUUAGAUACCCGGGUAGUCCCAGCCGUAAACGAUGCUCGCUAGGUGUCAGGCAUGGCGCGACCGUGUCUGGUGCCGCAGGGAAGCCGUGAAGCGAGCCACCUGGGAAGUACGGCCGCAAGGCUGAAACUUAAAGGAAUUGGCGGGGGAGCACAACAACGGGUGGAGCCUGCGGUUUAAUUGGACUCAACGCCGGACAACUCACCGGGGACGACAGCAAAAUGUAGGCCAGGCUGAAGACCUUGCCUGAAUCGCUGAGAGGAGGUGCAUGGCCGUCGCCAGUUCGUACUGUGAAGCAUCCUGUUAAGUCAGGCAACGAGCGAGACCCA